AGAACCUGGAGCCCAUCAAUAAGGCUAAGCGGGCAGGCCAAUAAUCUCUGGGGAUCCAUGUGUCUGUUCCUUUGGAGCUGGAAUCACAGAUGUGUGCUGCCACACCCAAACCCAGAUCCCAGUGCUUGUGAGCUAGCACUUUUCUGACUAAGCCAUCUCCACUCCCAGACUCCUUUCUCUCCUCACCAAGAUUGUACUCCAGGAGCUUGGCCCAUCGGUUAGUGGUGGAUUUCUGCAUCUGCUUCCAUCUGUUUCUGGAGGAGGGUUCAAGCUUCUCUGGGGUUAUGUCUGGGUACAUUUUGCUUUAUGUCUGGUAUCCACUUAUGAGUGGAAUAGUGUUGCCAUCCUCUGGACCCUUGUACCUCCAGCUUGUCUGUCUGCAGUGGGCAGGCCCUUGAGGUCUACCUCAAACUCUGUGGCUGGAAAAAUGACCCAGUCUAUCUGAGCAGUGGUGAACUCCCCAGAUUGGUCUGGUCACAUCAACUAAAAUAGGACAAAAGUAGGAGACACCAAUGACCAGAUGCAUGAAGAACAAAGAAGGAGGAAAGCAGUCCUGAAAAUAGAAAUCACACCAAAAAAUAGAUGAUGAGUUGAUGAUGCCCCGAGGCCUUUGUUCAGGAACAUGCUGGCACUGUAAAGAGGAACACGACAGUACCACAUUCUUCUGUGAAGUGUGAGCGGCUUUUUCCUAAAGAAUUCUCCCUAGAGAAGGCCUUGUGGGUUGUGGCUAGCUCUGCUUUCCGUUUUUAUCCAGACGUGUUCUUUAAGGCAAGUAUUACUCUCUUUCAAGGACUGCUCUAUCAUCACAUUAACAAUAAGAUAAACAAACUUGACAAAAAUCCAUGGAAAACACUAACCAUGGCCAUUGCUUAUUUCUGGUCCCAGGUAUUCCGUUUGUGCUCACAGUUAAAAAGCAGUCACGGCAGCUGUGUGCGUUCUGUAUCACUUGUUCCCCGUAAAUAAAAUACUCUAAGGGCCUAAAAAUGCAACAGAAAUAAAACUUUCUGAAAAAAAUUAAAAAGCUGCUAGUUGGUGUCAUAUCAAAAAUAAGACAUGGA
Molecule: long non-coding RNA, 1058 nt
Filed under: Cricetulus griseus (Chinese hamster)
Lineage: Eukaryota; Metazoa; Chordata; Mammalia; Rodentia; Cricetidae
Description: lncRNA (ENSCGRG00015008147.2)
Source: RNAcentral